UUUCAAUUUAGUAGUUUAUGUAAUUAAUGGGAAACACUGGGUUGUGUAGCAGGUGUUGUGGGCAUUAGCCCACAUGGGGGCCUCCUCUGUUGCUGAACUCCUCUGUUGCUGUGUGUGUGUGUGUGUGUGUGUGUGUGUGUGUGUGUGUGUGUGUGUGUGUGUGUGUGUGUGUGUGUGUGUGCGUGUGUGUCUGUGUGUGUGUGUGUGUGUGUGUGUGUGUUUUGGAGAUGUAAAGUCUUUCCAUCAAGAUACAGAUGAUACUCUUGAGAUACCAAUGAUCCUGACCCCUUCUGCUCUCUGGACCUGCCUGAUCAAUCCUGAUGUUCUACUUCUGUUUGGAGUUCUCAAUUGGAAGUCACAUGUUGCUGCUGAGGAUUGCCACAAACAGUUUUGCACUCAUCAGUGGAAAGUGGACAAGUUCAACAAAACAGACUUCAAAGCAGUAAUGAAGUUUCCUGGUUACACAAUUGCACUAUUUGACCAUGUAGUAUUAGAAGGCAUUAAUUUAUUUAUAAUCGCAAAAAUGUAUUUAUAAUUUAUUUUUAUUGCACUAUCCGGUGUCACCCAGAUGUGAACGGGUUCCCUUUUGAGUCUGGUUCCUCUCAAGAUUUCUUCCUCACAUCUUCUCAGGGAGUUUUGCCUCACCACCGUCACCUCUGGCUGCUCAUUAGGGAUAAAUUCAUACAUUUAAGAUCUAUAUCCCAAAUUUCUGUAAAGCUGCUCUGGGACAAUGUCCACUGUUAAAAGCACUAUACAAAUAAAACUGAAUUGAAUGGCCUAUGACUGAUGAAUUAAUGUUGCUCAUUAUUAAGUUUCUCUCAGCAGGGUGGAGGGUUUAAACUUCUCAGUAAUGUCGAGGUGGUGCCUCACACCCCCAGGGUCCGUGGUUCGACUCCUGGUAGGGCCAUGUGUGUGCAGAGUUUGCAUGUUCUCCCUGUGCUGCGGGGGGGUUUCCUUCGGGUACUCCGGUUUCCUCCCCCAGUCCAAAGACAUGCAUGGUAGGCUGAUUGGCAUGUCUAAAGUGUCCGUAGUGUAUGAAUGGGUGUGUGAGUGUGUAUGUGAUUGUGCCCUGCGAUGGACUGGCACCCUGUCCAGGGUGUACCCCGCCUUGUGCCCGAUGCUCCCUGGAAUAGGCUCCAGGUUCCCCGUGACCCUGAAAAGGAGUAAUUUUACUCCUUUUAUUAGCUUUUAUUGAAGAGAAUAUAAUCCAAAGGGCAAGGCAAAAUCAACAAUGAGGACAAGACUAGAGCAGGUAAAGCAGAUAAUCGGAGUCAAGGGCAAAACAGAAUAAGAAUCACAAAACAAUCGACUGGCUUGGUAAUGACAGAAACUAGAUUAACUGAGCAUUUACUUUGCAAACCCAGGGUAACUUCUAAGCAUCUGAUGUUCAUGAGUCCACCCUCAGGAGAACACUGAACAACAAUGGUGUGCAUGGCAGGGUUCUAAGGAGAAACCAUUGCUCUCCAAAAGAACAUUGCUGCCCUUCUACAGUUUGCUAAAGAUCAUGUGGACAAGCCAGAAGGAUACUGGAAAAAUGUUUUGAGACCAAAUUAGAACAUUUUGUUUUAAAUGAGAAGCGUUAUGUUUGGAGAAAGGAAAACACUGCAUUCCAGCAUAAGAACCUUAUCCCAUUUGUGAAACAUGGUGGUGGAAGUGUCAUGCUUUGGGCCUGUUUUACUCCAUCUGGACCAGAAUGACUCAUUAUCACUGAUGGAACAAUGAAUUGUGAAUGAUACCAGUGAAUUCUAAAGGAAAAUAUCAGGACAUCUAUCCAUGAACUGAAUCUGAAGAGAGAGUGGGUCAUGCAGCAAGACAACGAUCCUAAACACGAGUCGCUCUACCAAAGAAUGGUUAAAGAAGAAUAAAUUAAUGUUUUGGAACGGCCAAGUCAAAGUCCUGACCUUAAUCCAAUAGAAAUGUUGCCGAAGGACCUGAAGCAAGCAGUUCAUGUGAGUUACAGCAAAUGUUUAGUUGCAGUAAUUGCUGCACAAGAGGGUCACAACAGAUAAUGAAAGCAAAGGUUCACAUACUUUUGCCACUCACAGAUAUGUAAUAUUGGAUUUUGAUCAAUAAAUAAAUGACCAAGUAUAAUAUUAUUGAUUCAUUUGUUUAAUCAGGUUCUCUUUAUCUACUUUUAGGACUUUGAUGAAAAUUUGAUUAUGUUUUAGGUCAUACUUAUGCAGAUAUAUAGAAAAUUCUAAAGGGUUCACAAACUUUCAAGCACCACUGUGCUGUAUGUGCAUUAAGAAUCAUAUUCAGAGUUAAUGAUUUAAGUUAAAAGUUAUAUUAAUA
Molecule: long non-coding RNA, 2292 nt
Organism: Ictalurus punctatus (channel catfish)
Lineage: Eukaryota; Metazoa; Chordata; Actinopteri; Siluriformes; Ictaluridae
Source: Ensembl